Molecule: long non-coding RNA, 969 nt
Filed under: Homo sapiens (human)
Lineage: Eukaryota; Metazoa; Chordata; Mammalia; Primates; Hominidae
Description: HSALNT0334745
Source: RNAcentral
AGUUGCAAGGCUUUCAACAAAAGCCUGGAGAUACAUGAAAUAUUAUAUUGGGUCUCAAGUGUCGCACAGGCUGGAAUGCAGUGGUGUGAACACGGCUCACUGCAGCUCAACCUCCCAGGCUCAAACAAUCCUCCCACCUCCGCCUCCCAAGUAACUGGGACCACAGAGAUGGGGCCUUACUAUGUUUACACGGCUGGAUUCCACCUUCUGGACUCAAGCUAUCCUCCUGCCUCAGCCCCCUGAGUAGCUGGGACUAUAGGCAUACCUGAUCAUGCCCAACUUUCCUUUUUUGAAUGGGUGAAAAUUGGCCAAUUUUCAAGAUUCAGCUCCUCAAUGAAACCUAUCCUUUUUCAACCACCCAAACUGAUACUGUUUUCUUAUUUAUCUUAAUGCCAUAUUUAUAGUUGGCAUUUGUUAUCAUUCUAUCUUAUAGACAUACUAAGUGAAUGAAUAAAUGAGUGAAUGAUAAAAUGAAUGGAGGUAUUUCACAUUUAAAAAACUGAAUUAGAUCCAUUCUAUUUUAACUCUGAUCGUGACUGUUGAAAGUUAUAAAGCCAAGUCAGCUUUCAAGGUCAAAAGAAAUCAAGGUGAUGUGCAUAUUCUAACUUGCCCAUGGGCACAGCUGCUCCUGGCAGCUGUUAACAGAAACUUCAAAAAGGCUCAUUUCUAACAGAUUUGUGUGAAUUUUUUUUUUGAAAUUGAAAAUGUACAAAGGGAAGACCCAAAUUUUAAAAGGCAAAUUGAAUACGUGUCAAAAUCAGUCUUGGCAGAUACAAGAAAGCCAGUGUUUUAGUCCAUUUUGUGUUGCCAUAAAGGAAUAUUGGAGGCUGGAUAAUUUAUAAAGAAAAGAAGUUUAUUUGGCUCACGGUUCUGCAGGCUAUACAAGAAGCAUUGUGCUAGUGUCUGCUUCUGGUGAGAGCUUCAAGGAGCUUCCACUCAUUGUGGAAGGUGAAGGGGAGCAGGCAUCAC